RNAcentral lists this ribosomal RNA (253 nucleotides) under uncultured bacterium. RNAcentral describes it as "partial 16S ribosomal RNA". It matches the Rfam family "Bacterial small subunit ribosomal RNA", at positions 524 to 776 of the family's 1533-position model. The record is from RNAcentral.
AACGUAGGACGCAAGCGUUAUCCGGAGUUACUGGGCGUAAAGCGCGGGCAGGCGGUUCUGCCAGUCUGCUGUGAAAUCUCCUCGCUCAACGGGGAGCAGCCAGUGGAAACUACAGAACUGGAGUCUGACAGAGGUAGGCGGAAUUCCCGGUGUAGCGGUGAAAUGCGCAGAUAUCGGGAAGAACACCCGUGGCGAAGGCGGUUCUCUGGGACGGUACUGACGCUGAGACGCGAAAGCGUGGGGAGCGAACAGG